RNAcentral lists this transfer RNA (74 nucleotides) under Patescibacteria group bacterium. RNAcentral describes it as "tRNA-Val". It matches the Rfam family "tRNA". Rfam says of the family: Transfer RNA (tRNA) molecules are approximately 80 nucleotides in length. The record is from RNAcentral. RNAcentral also lists the same sequence under 5 other names.
GGGCGCUUAGCUCAGCUGGUUAGAGCGCUUCGUUUACACCGAAGAGGUCGGGGGUUCGAGUCCCUCAGCGCCCA